RNAcentral lists this ribosomal RNA (507 nucleotides) under Lacticaseibacillus rhamnosus. Its description in RNAcentral is "bacterial SSU rRNA". It matches the Rfam family "Bacterial small subunit ribosomal RNA", at positions 32 to 503 of the family's 1533-position model. The record is from RNAcentral. Lineage: Bacteria; Bacillati; Bacillota; Bacilli; Lactobacillales; Lactobacillaceae.
AACGCUGGCGGCGUGCCUAAUACAUGCAAGUCGAACGAGUUCUGAUUAUUGAAAGGUGCUUGCAUCUUGAUUUAAUUUUGAACGAGUGGCGGACGGGUGAGUAACACGUGGGUAACCUGCCCUUAAGUGGGGGAUAACAUUUGGAAACAGAUGCUAAUACCGCAUAAAUCCAAGAACCGCAUGGUUCUUGGCUGAAAGAUGGCGUAAGCUAUCGCUUUUGGAUGGACCCGCGGCGUAUUAGCUAGUUGGUGAGGUAACGGCUCACCAAGGCAAUGAUACGUAGCCGAACUGAGAGGUUGAUCGGCCACAUUGGGACUGAGACACGGCCCAAACUCCUACGGGAGGCAGCAGUAGGGAAUCUUCCACAAUGGACGCAAGUCUGAUGGAGCAACGCCGCGUGAGUGAAGAAGGCUUUCGGGUCGUAAAACUCUGUUGUUGGAGAAGAAUGGUCGGCAGAGUAACUGUUGUCGGCGUGACGGUAUCCAACCAGAAAGCCACGGCUAACUA